AAUCCGAGCUUCGGCCUGUGACA
This 23-nucleotide microRNA is filed under the name Pristionchus pacificus. RNAcentral's name for it is "ppc-miR-8320-5p". Lineage: Eukaryota; Metazoa; Nematoda; Chromadorea; Rhabditida; Neodiplogasteridae. The record is from miRBase by way of RNAcentral.